AUUUUUUUUUUAAGAAUUUCUUCAUUGGUAUUAGAGCCUGAAUUGUGUUGGAUUCGUGCAUUUGUUGGAUUUAAUUCAUGAAAAGCUUGAUUUUUUUUUAAUUUUUGUGAUGUUGUUGUUUUAAGUGUUCUGGAAUGUUUAAUAUGAAUGGAUUAAUUUUGAAAUUGAUAUUAUUAAAACUAGCCUAAGGUUAAGAUUGCAUGAACCCUAAAUAUAUAUGAAACCCGAAACUUCAAUGGAUCAUAUCUUUUGAUUUAGGACACCUGACAAUAUGUGUGAUAUAUCAUUGGAAAGAUCUUUUUGAGAGCUUUCCAACGGUAUGUGAUUUGUUAAAAACGGACUUAAUACGAGAAAUUUAUGACCAAAAUAUGAUUAUGGUAGGAUUAGGAUUUGGAAAGGGUUAAAAACUUUAAUUUGGACAAGAUGAUGAACAGUGCCAGAGUUAGUUUUUUUGACGGUUUCAGCCUAUUCCGACCUCCGUUUGAAAAUCCGAAUGUUCCAUUGAAUUCAUAAUGAAGAUCCAAUGUGCUCGUUAGUGCCGUGACUGGCAGUGCCUCUGGUUGCACUAAAAAAUUCAGCCAAUUUGCUCAUGGUGUCCUCCAGACACUACAGCUUGUCAUUGAUUCCAAUUUUCAUUUGUUCCAUCUUGUUUUGGAAGCUCCCAAUAUCAGCUUCAAUUUGUUCGAUGCGCUUCUUGUUGGUCGUCAUUGAUAGCUAGCUCUUAUACCAAUGUUAGGUCCCAGCCAAAUGUAGCUAACAAUUACAAUUGUUAGAAGUAAUAUUUUUUACUUAUGGUGAGAAGUAAUACUCUUCCCCUUUAUUCAUAUCUCUGGAGCUUAUUUAUAACAAAAGACUUUGAUUUCCAACCCAAUAUCUUAGCUGGAAUCAAUCAACAAAUAUCAAACUAACAACUUGACUAAUAUUUCGAACUGAAAAAUAAAUCAAAAGCAAACUUCCAAGAUUUGGAUCCCCCCUCAAUCUCUGCACGAUCUCUCACAAAGUAAACCCAAAAUCAUGGCUCCGAUUUGGCAUUCACACAUUAACCUCACGUGAGACUUCAUGCAUGGCUUUGGGAAUGGCUUUGCAUGGCACUCUUCACGUAGUGGACUUUGGGUUUGGCUUUGGUAGCCUAUCAGACCUUCGUGGCUCAUGACUCAGCACUCUAUCAGAUUGUUCCUUAGUUUGAUGAUAGGAACGCCACCAUGGCUUGAGUUAUUAUUUUUGUAUACCAUUCUGUCGACUUUUGAUGCACAUACUCUUGUUCUUGUACUUUUGCAUUUUAUUUAUUAUGUAUUUAAUUUUCUGCAGCGGCUGAUUAAUUAAUUUAUCUUUAAAUCAAUGCUUGAUCGCAGAUACAUUUAAUGUUUCUAUUUGAAUUUUUAUUUUUAUUUUAUAAUUUUUUUGUGAGUUUUGUGUAUGCGGUAAAAUCCUUUGUCUUUAUUCGAACAUUGAGAACAAGUACUUAAAACUCUUUCUAGUUUUCAUAUUUCGGAGAGGGGACUGGCUGUUGAUAAACUAAAUAAGUUAUUUUUCUCAUUAAAAAUUUUGUAUUUUAAAAUUAUUCUGAAAAGCUUUAAUAUUUUCGAUUAUAAGUUUAAAGUAAUUUUCACCUUUUUUUUUCAAGUGAGAUUAGUUGAUAUUGCAGGACUUUAAUUAGUUAAAUUAGCUGUCAUAUUUAAAAAAUAAUAAUGUUUAGUUUUUGAAUGAACACAUUUUGCUUUCAAACUUUGUAAAAUUAAAUAAUUUCUAAAAUCAAGCAUACCGCCUAUUAAAAAAAAGGGCAAAAUACCAAAAGCCCACCGAAGCCCACAAAGUUUUGGAUUACGUGCAAACUUAGGACAAAGACUAAUAAGGCCCAAAUUUUAAGUCUUCCAAAUCGUAACAAGCUUCUUUGUCAACUCAAUUUUUUAAAAAUAAAUUUCGAAAUUUGCUAACAAUUAUUUGGUUAAAUUUUAAAGUGUUUGAAAUUAUGAGAUUUUGUAAUUAUAUAUUUAAAAGUUAAUCAUCAAUUGGUAACACUUAUUAAUUCUAAUUGAUUGACACCAACUAAUAACAUAAUGUGACUGAUCUCAUAUAAAACUUUCUCGAUAUAUAAUUAUCGUGGACUACAUGUUUCUUGUUUCGAAAUCGGAGGCCAUUACUAAUUUACCCAAGUGGGGCUUUCCCCAGUGUUUUAAGCAAACGCCUAACACACAUGAUUUUUUAUCAUUAAAAAGAUAGAGAUUUGAGAUGAUGAAAUUGGAUGAUUUGGUGCAUCUAAUUCAUAAUAUGACAAGAUGAGAUUUCACUUACCAACAUAUUUGCUAGUCAAAUAUAAGAAAUUGCAAAACAAGUCGUGUUUUAUUAUAUUCGUUAAAAGCCUUUCAAUCAUGUAUCUGUUGGCCAAUUAAAUUACGCAAUUAACACCCUUUUCUUCAUCUUGUUCAAAAUCAGAUUCGCUGCUUUUACUUCAAAAAAAAACAAUAAAUGAAUCGCAGGUUUCUUUCUUAAACAAAUAAUUUUUUAUUUUUUAUUUUUUAUUUUUAUCUCGAGAGGGAGAGACCUUCCCCCUGGCCAAUAAGUCCGUUUCCACAAUUUGAGGAUGAUUUAUGAGUUUUCUUUAUUUUCGACACAAAAUUCAAUACGUUUGAAGAAAAAAAGAAAUGUGAGUUGGACAAAUUCAUUGGAAAAAAAUUUAGUCAAUUGUGUUAUAAAAUGUAUCUCUCCGACCGUUGUUUUCGUUGAUUUUAUUUGUUAAGUCAGUCUACAACACAAACCCUAAAAUGUUUCAAUCUCACCAAUUAUUUUUUCUAUAAAAUUUUUUUUAUUACAUUUAUAUGGCACUAUUUUUGUUAUACUUUCAAUUUUUUUUUUUUUGUCAGCACGUUACAAAAUACAAGAGCAUUUAACGUAGUUUAUGAACACCCAGGUUCUAAAUGGUUAAUAGAACAAGGACUGACGUUAAUUUAGGAAGUGAAAAUUUUCAUCUAUAUCCAAAUCUAAAAAAUAAUAAUAUAAAAUUAAAUAAAACACCUGUAACUUUAAGACAUACAUAUCCUCAAUGCUGGGAGUCGUAAUGAAAAGAAGAAGAAUUACAACAAAAUUGGGGACCAUAAUGGAAACUGGUAGAACCUACAAGGGCUAAUCUUAUCUUUCAAUUGAUUUUUGUGGAGCCAGAAACAAUUAAACCCGAACAGCAAAUAGCCAUAAAUGAAAGCACAAUUAAAUUGGAACUCUCCGCAGACCCACGAUUUAAUAUCUUUAGAUUGUAACGAUUCAACCCAAAAAAAUAUUCUAGUAAAAUAUUUCUUAAAAAAAUGCUUCUUCACGUCACAACGUUGAAAACAAGAACAAAAUUGUGGUCCACGUGUCAUUUCAAAGUAGGUUGCUGGCAUAAACAUCCGGCUCCAUCCCGGACAGAUGUUAUGUGAGUGGUUGGUACGCGUUUCCACUUUUUUGUUUCAGAUGCAACGACUCAUGCACUAAAAAAAAAAAAUAAAUAAAUUUACGUUUAAGUUUUAAAAAUUAAUAUCGAUUUAAAUAUGAAUCUAAUGUUAAACUCUUAUUCAGGCAUCGAUUGUACUCGGCAAAAUAAUAAUAAUAAUAAUUAAGAAGCAGAGGCCAGGCAGGCGGUUGUAGGGCUGCUGCUAUCUUAUAGUUUUAGAAGAAGGUUCUUUUCUUUCUUUAGAGUUGAUGCCGUGAGACGUUUUUUAUAUUAUUAUGAUAACUUUGGUUGCGGAUUCAAUUGAAAUAAUAAUUCUUCUUCGACGCGUACCGACCGCCCUCGCUAAACUCUCCUUCCAAGAAAUUAACAACAACCACUCCGCCAUUUUUCUUCUAUAAAUACAUAUACUUCACACACAUUUACAUAUUUACACCCACUCUCGUCGACAUCAUCAUCAUCAAUUAACAUAUCUCCAACUUCAGCUUCUUCUCCCACCUAACUUGUCAUUUUUCUUCCUUUGCCUUUGCCAGUCUUUUCUCUCUUCUAUCAACUGCAAGCAUGAGCUCCUACAAUCAGAAUCAGUCCUCAGGUAACUAAAUCAUCUGCAUAUCCUACUUCUCCUCCUGUUGUUACGUUCCCAAGUUUUUAAAUUGUGAAUUUUGAAUCUACAUGUUUUAUCUUAACUGGGUAAUUGUGUAUAUGUAGUAGCAUACCCCCCACCACCACCGUCUACAACGGCGGGUCUGUACGUGGCGGCGCCACCACCGGCAGGUUAUCCAACGAAAGACGGCGAUCAUGGUUACGCUCAAAAUGCCCCCGUAGAAACCAAGUCCAGAGGUGAUGGCUUCUGGAAAGGAUGGUAUGCAAUCUUUAUGUGUUUCACCUCACCUUAUGUUAAUUAUUCGUAUAUAUGUAUAUACACACGCACAUCUAUCAUAUGUGUAGUGACUGAUUUGGUCGGUUUAAUUUGCAGUUGUGCUGGCUUGUGUUGCUGCUGUGCCUUGGACGCCUGCUUCUGAACACACAUACGCACGGUUGAUCGUUUGAUUUUGGGGAUUCUUUUUUAUUUCCAUUAUUAUAUUACGUGUAUAAAUAAUAAUAAUAAAAACAGUUCAGAUUGUUCCUUAGUUUGAUGAUAGGAACGCCCCCGUGGCUUGAGUUAUUAUUUUUGUAUACCAUUCUGUAGCCUUUUGAUACACAUACUCUUAUUUUUGUAUACCAUUCUGUAGACUUUUGAUACACAUACUCUUGUUCUUGUACUUUGAAUUUUAUUUACUAUGUAUUUAAUUCUCUGCAGUGGCUGAUUAAUUUAUCUUUAAAUCAAUGCUUGAUUGUAGAUACAUUUUCAAUACAAAAUAAGAACGAGUUGGUUUGGGGCCAACACAAACGCAUACAUACAUGCAAUCACAUGGAAAGCACGUUCAUAACAAGAAUGAAAAUAUCAUGAUUUUAACAUAUUUUUCAAAAACAUAUUUUUGGAUUUAUCCUAUGAAUAAUCAAAAGUCUAUCACAAUCUUUUAAAUCAGCAUUAUAAACCAUCAACUUAAAAAAGAAGGAGCAACCAACAUAAUUUUUGUAACAACGUUGUUUUAGUAAAAUUUAAUUUCAUUACGAAAAGUUCACUUCGUCUGGUCAACUAUAACAAAGAUAGAAAUACAAGCUCAUUCUUUAGCAUUGAUGCCGUGUGCUUUUGAGUCAGAGGAAUGAUUUUCAAUUGAGUGCUAACUGCUUCGAGAGAAAAUAACUCGUUCUCCGCUGGUGUAAAGACUAAAGAGAUGCCCGAUUUGGUGUACUUUCCAACCUUUUGAAUCCGAACACAAAAUUCCAAACAAAACUGUCAAAGCUGACCUUUGCGAAAGAAACGAAAUGACACCUGCACCCAUCAAGUGAAAAUAGUUUAUUUGAUGCGAUUUAUAGGAUAAUUUAUUUCAUUAUUUCUACUGUACCGACUAAAUAAUCUGGUAGAUAUCACAACACUUUAAUCAUAAAUUUUUUUAAAGAGUGGUAUCAAAUAAUUAGUUAGACUACAUUUUAAUUUGUUAAAAGUCUUCUUUAAGUCCUAUUUGUUAUUGAGAUACUGUAACUUUUAAGAUACAUCUCUUAUUGGGAAAAAAAAUCUUGUAGUUAUAAAAUAAAAAUUAAUAGUAUGUAGUAAAUGUAAUUAUUAAAUAAUAAUUUUAACAAAAUUAGUAAAGAUAUUAAUAGAUUUUUCAUUAUAUAAGUGUAAAAUUAUAAGUGUAAAAUCAAAUUAAUUCAACUUCUAAUCUACAAUAACUAGUAUUUAUUAAAUGGGAAAAGGACAAACACACCCCCAACGUUUAGACAAAGGGACAAAAAUCCUCCUAACGUUUCAAAAAAGACAUUUACACCCCUAUUCACUAACGGAAACAGUAACGUUUAACUGAAAUUACCGUUAUACCCUUCUAGCAUAUAAAAAAGAUUAUUGAUUAUCCAAUUUUUUGCAUUUAACGUAGUUUAUGAACACCCAGGUUCUAAAUGGUUAAUAGAACAAGGACUGACGUUAAUUUAGGAAGUGAAAAUUUUCAUCUAUAUCCAAAUCUAAAAAAUAAUAAUAUAAAAUUAAAUAAAACACCUGUAACUUUAAGACAUACAUAUCCUCAAUGCUGGGAGUCGUAAUGAAAAGAAGAAGAAUUACAACAAAAUUGGGGACCAUAAUGGAAACUGGUAGAACCUACAAGGGCUAAUCUUAUCUUUCAAUUGAUUUUUGUGGAGCCAGAAACAAUUAAACCCGAACAGCAAAUAGCCAUAAAUGAAAGCACAAUUAAAUUGGAACUCUCCGCAGACCCACGAUUUAAUAUCUUUAGAUUGUAACGAUUCAACCCAAAAAAAUAUUCUAGUAAAAUAUUUCUUAAAAAAAUGCUUCUUCACGUCACAACGUUGAAAACAAGAACAAAAUUGUGGUCCACGUGUCAUUUCAAAGUAGGUUGCUGGCAUAAACAUCCGGCUCCAUCCCGGACAGAUGUUAUGUGAGUGGUUGGUACGCGUUUCCACUUUUUUGUUUCAGAUGCAACGACUCAUGCACUAAAAAAAAAAAAUAAAUAAAUUUACGUUUAAGUUUUAAAAAUUAAUAUCGAUUUAAAUAUGAAUCUAAUGUUAAACUCUUAUUCAGGCAUCGAUUGUACUCGGCAAAAUAAUAAUAAUAAUAAUUAAGAAGCAGAGGCCAGGCAGGCGGUUGUAGGGCUGCUGCUAUCUUAUAGUUUUAGAAGAAGGUUCUUUUCUUUCUUUAGAGUUGAUGCCGUGAGACGUUUUUUAUAUUAUUAUGAUAACUUUGGUUGCGGAUUCAAUUGAAAUAAUAAUUCUUCUUCGACGCGUACCGACCGCCCUCGCUAAACUCUCCUUCCAAGAAAUUAACAACAACCACUCCGCCAUUUUUCUUCUAUAAAUACAUAUACUUCACACACAUUUACAUAUUUACACCCACUCUCGUCGACAUCAUCAUCAUCAAUUAACAUAUCUCCAACUUCAGCUUCUUCUCCCACCUAACUUGUCAUUUUUCUUCCUUUGCCUUUGCCAGUCUUUUCUCUCUUCUAUCAACUGCAAGCAUGAGCUCCUACAAUCAGAAUCAGUCCUCAGGUAACUAAAUCAUCUGCAUAUCCUACUUCUCCUCCUGUUGUUACGUUCCCAAGUUUUUAAAUUGUGAAUUUUGAAUCUACAUGUUUUAUCUUAACUGGGUAAUUGUGUAUAUGUAGUAGCAUACCCCCCACCACCACCGUCUACAACGGCGGGUCUGUACGUGGCGGCGCCACCACCGGCAGGUUAUCCAACGAAAGACGGCGAUCAUGGUUACGCUCAAAAUGCCCCCGUAGAAACCAAGUCCAGAGGUGAUGGCUUCUGGAAAGGAUGGUAUGCAAUCUUUAUGUGUUUCACCUCACCUUAUGUUAAUUAUUCGUAUAUAUGUAUAUACACACGCACAUCUAUCAUAUGUGUAGUGACUGAUUUGGUCGGUUUAAUUUGCAGUUGUGCUGGCUUGUGUUGCUGC
RNAcentral lists this long non-coding RNA (7424 nucleotides) under Citrus sinensis (sweet orange). RNAcentral describes it as "long non-coding RNA (CSIN_LNC002625)". The record is from RNAcentral. Lineage: Eukaryota; Viridiplantae; Streptophyta; Magnoliopsida; Sapindales; Rutaceae.